This 425-nucleotide long non-coding RNA is filed under the name Androctonus crassicauda. Lineage: Eukaryota; Metazoa; Arthropoda; Arachnida; Scorpiones; Buthidae. The record is from RNAcentral.
AAACCAAUUUGCAGUAACUGGAUUAAUAAAAUCAGGAUUGAAUUUUUUUUUAAUCUUUUUAUCAUCACUUUGUUUUAAUGUCUAUAGAAUCACACAGCUUGCUUGUAUAUAUUUAGUUAUUUACAUUUCAACUAACAUCAGAUUUUCAUUUUUUUCUACCGAAUGAAAUACAGGGUGUCUAAAAAAAUGUACUAACACUUUGAAUGACGAGAAAAACAAGAUUUAUGAACAUAGAAGUUGAAAAGCUUCAAGUACAGAAGACAAAUGUAAUUGAAGAAUCAUGUUCGCAAAUGUUCAAAUUGAUGACCAUCAUUGUCCAGACAACACUGAUAACGCAAACCAAGGAAUUUGCAAACGUCACGAAACAGGUCAUUUGGAAUAUCGCGACAUUGUCUUUCAAUUUCCAGUUUCAAUGCAUCAAUUGU